UACGUAGGUGACCAGCGUUGUCCGGAUUUACUGGGCGUAAAGAGCGCGCAGGCGGUCGUUCAAGUCGAGUGUGAAAGCCCCGGGCUCAACCUGGGAAUUGCAUUCGAGACUGAAUAGCUAGGGUACGGUAGAGGGAAGCGGAAUUUCCGGUGUAGCGGUGAAAUGCGUAGAUAUCGGAAGGAACAUCAGUGGCGAAAGCGGCUUCCUGGACCAGUACCGACGUUCAGGCACGAAAGCGUGGGGAGCAAACAGG
This 253-nucleotide ribosomal RNA is filed under the name uncultured bacterium. Its description in RNAcentral is "partial 16S ribosomal RNA". It matches the Rfam family "Bacterial small subunit ribosomal RNA", at positions 524 to 776 of the family's 1533-position model. The record is from RNAcentral.